GUAACAAGGUCUCCGUAGGUGAACCUGCGGAGGGAUCAU
This 39-nucleotide ribosomal RNA is filed under the name Alternaria gaisen. RNAcentral describes it as "partial 18S ribosomal RNA". RNAcentral also lists the same sequence under 1 other name. The record is from RNAcentral. Lineage: Eukaryota; Fungi; Ascomycota; Dothideomycetes; Pleosporales; Pleosporaceae.